Molecule: non-coding RNA, 72 nt
Organism: Phrynosoma platyrhinos (Desert horned lizard)
Lineage: Eukaryota; Metazoa; Chordata; Lepidosauria; Squamata; Phrynosomatidae
Source: the annotation of a GenBank genome assembly
ACCAGUGUGGCAUAGUGGUUUGAGCUUUGGACUAUGACUCUGGAGACCAGGGUUCGAAUGCCCUGGGUGGCC